RNAcentral lists this ribosomal RNA (301 nucleotides) under uncultured bacterium. RNAcentral's name for it is "partial 16S ribosomal RNA". It matches the Rfam family "Bacterial small subunit ribosomal RNA", at positions 509 to 807 of the family's 1533-position model. The record is from RNAcentral.
CAGCCGCCGCGGUAAUACGAAGGGUGCAAGCGUUAAUCGGAAUUACUGGGCGUAAAGCGUGCGUAGGCGGUGAGUUAAGUCUGCUGUGAAAUCCCCGGGCUCAACCUGGGAAUGGCAAUGGAUACUGGCAAGCUAGAGUGUGUCAGAGGAUGGUGGAAUUCCCGGUGUAGCGGUGAAAUGCGUAGAGAUCGGGAGGAACAUCAGUGGCGAAGGCGGCCAUCUGGGACAACACUGACGCUGAGGCACGAAAGCGUGGGAAGCAAACAGGAUUAGAUACCCCAGUAGUCCCUGUCUCUUAUAC